Molecule: small RNA, 481 nt
Filed under: Pseudomonas aeruginosa PAK
Lineage: Bacteria; Pseudomonadati; Pseudomonadota; Gammaproteobacteria; Pseudomonadales; Pseudomonadaceae
Description: putative antisense RNA
Source: RNAcentral
UUGAGCGGCGCGCAGGCCGGCGACCAUCUAGUCCAUGUCCGGCUGGGCGACGUGCCAGGCGCCCAUCUUGCCGUCACCGUUCUUGUCGCCAGGCUUCUUGUCCUGGAUGAAGGUAUAAAGGGGCUUGCCGUAGUAGGCCCACUGCUGGGUGCCGUCCUCGCGAGCGACCAGGCUCCAGUCGCCGCUGGCCUGCGCUCCCUGGGCCGCUGCCAGCGGCGGCCAGUUCUUCGCGCACUGCCCGGAACAGGCGGAUUGCCCUUCGCUGUCCUUGUCGUAGGUAUAGAGCGUCAUGCCCUUGCCAUCGACCAGCACGCCGUCCUUCUCGGUGGCCGGCGCCACCGUUUCCUGGGCCAGCGCGGCGAACGCCGGCAGGGCCAGCGCCAGACCCAGCGCCAGGUGGAUUCUGUUCAUCGCGUCUCUCUCCUGUGUCUUCAGGUGGAGCGUUCGCCGCCCGCAGGGACGGCACCGGAACCUGUUGAGC